UACGGGGGGGGCAAGCGUUGUUCGGAAUUACUGGGCGUAAAGGGCUCGUAGGUGGCCAACUAAGUCAGACGUGAAAUCCCCAGGCUCAACCUGGGAACUGCGUCUGAUACUGGAUGGCUUGAAUCCGGGAGAGGGAUGCAGAAUUCCAGGCGUAGCGGUGAAAUGCGUAGAUAUCUGGAGGAAUACCGGUGGCGAAGGCGGCAUCCUGGACCGGCAUUGACGCUGAGGAGCGAAAGCCAGGGGAGCAAACGGG
RNAcentral lists this ribosomal RNA (253 nucleotides) under uncultured bacterium. RNAcentral describes it as "partial 16S ribosomal RNA". It matches the Rfam family "Bacterial small subunit ribosomal RNA", at positions 524 to 776 of the family's 1533-position model. The record is from RNAcentral.